Molecule: long non-coding RNA, 277 nt
Filed under: Medicago truncatula (barrel medic)
Lineage: Eukaryota; Viridiplantae; Streptophyta; Magnoliopsida; Fabales; Fabaceae
Description: long non-coding RNA (MTRU_LNC002083)
Source: RNAcentral
CAAGAAGGUAUUGGUGAUAGGAUACAAUCUUGAGCUAAAAUGGAAGCCCGGAGAAUUGCACAGAGCCAGCUUAGGCAACUGGAGGACGAAGUACAUGAUCCUGUGAGGUAUCCACUGCAGCAGGUGGCAUAAAUUGCCACAUUGCAACUCCAGGAUAACUAAUAAAGGGUACCAAUUUGUUGCCAUGGGCUUGGCCUUGUGCAGCAAAUGCCGCAGGGAGUGCAGUGGGGGUAGGCAAGAAACUAGGAGGUGCAUUCAUAGAUUUCAGCUGCUGCUC